GGGCAGAUAAACCCAAGUUGUGUCUCCUUCUCCACCUCCUUGUUCAUUCUUUCCCUUCUUAGAGUUUUGCACUUGACGAUGUAAAUGCAGGAAUACUCAGGGCGGCUCUGCUUGAAUCCAAUCUGGUCCAGGCUGUCCCAUUCAUCAUGUUGGCACUGGGAAUUAUUUGUGGAGCAGUGUUUCUGGCAGUCACCUAUUGGCCCAAAGGGAAAAAAGAGGAGGGUAACGUUGACGAGCGAGCUCCACUUAUCCGGACUUAACUCCAUCUCCCCCGACCAUGCCAGGUUUACAGAAAAAAAGAGAGAGCUUCACAAUGAUGACUGUAAAGGGCAAGCGUUUUUAAACUGCCACCACAACCUACCACUUCAAUGGCACCCUUGAAGUCGUCCUCUUGCUAGCAUUUAGUAACCACCUGCUUCCGAGGAAGGUUGGGCAUUUGUAAACGGAACCUAAACGGAGGGGGGCAGCAUUACAGGCUUUUUAAAGGGGUCGGUUGGACGCCAUUUGCCACCGCUUUCCCAGAGUGUGAAAAUAGCAGUAGUAUUUCACUACACUUCUAUCAUUUUGUUGGACUUGUGGAGUUGCAACUGCACCUGGUUUCCCUUGCUGUUUAUUGGAGGUGUCAUGAAAGAUGAUGUCAGCCUUUGAUGACAUCCUUAUUUAGUUUAGGAGAUUUGCUAGUCCAGCCCUCGUCCUGCCAUAAUUUGAUUUCUUGGUGAAUCUUACGGGUCAGAUCUACUUGGAGUUUCAUUUUUCCCAUAGCGUAAAUCUUUGCACCGGAAAGAAAAAAGAAGAAUUUUACAUACAUCCAAGGAAAAUGCCUAUUUUUGUUCAGGCCAUCAAAUGCCCCAUUCGGUGUUGGUUUGUUUUUUAAUUUCCUUUUGAGUAAAAGGCUCAGACCAGCUUUUAUUAACUUGGCACCCUGUGGCAGUGCCAACUCUUUGAGAGAAUACCAGAUUGAGGAAGGCUGCCUCAGGUGUUUGCUAGUGAAUUCUCUCCUAUUUGUGUAUCUAUGGAAAUAGAGUUGGCAAUAGAGUGGAAAUAGAGUUUAAAAGAUCCAGCCCCUGGACCCAAAAGAUUUACUGGGAUUUUAACUAUUUUAUUUUAUUUUUUAAAAAAGUACACACACAAAGUAUGUUUGAAGGCGCCAUCUCUACAAACUGGACAUGUCACACAUAUUUUCCAAGAAUACACAACUUCAUGUGUGAAGGUUUUUUCACUCGUCCUUUCUCUCUCAUCUCCUUUAAAAAUGAUUUGGGGAUAACAGAUUUCUUCUUUAAAUCCAACACACAUUUUUUGUCAAGAUCUAAAGGCCUCUUCCCUCCGAGACAUCCAUCCAGAUGUGGCCGUCAUUUCCUCCUUCAACUUGGGAGGAAAAAAAGAAGGGAUCGGAGUCUUCACAAUUAACAGCCAACAUAGAAUUUAAACCCUGCAGGCCGAAGCCUGCGGUUUGUCAAGAUAAUGUGAUUGCUUUGAGGGGAGAAAAAAAGGGAAGUUUUACAGGAUCAUUCAUUUGCACUGGAGGGUCUACUGCUUGCACAGGGGGUUGGACUAGAAGACCUCCAAGGUCCCUUCCAACUCUAUUCUGAUUGAUUGGAUGUGCCGUCUUUGUCGAGUGAUUUGAUUGCACUGAUUUGAUGAAGGGAAGCUGGAAUCCUUUUUGAGAUGGUCCUGAAAGUAAGAUGGUAGCCAGUAAUCUUGUUGGUAGCCAGUAAUCUGGCUAAUCCUGCUUGCUUGAUAAUUCGGAGAGGAGAGGAGAAGGAAAAGCCCAAGACAUCUGACAUUAUGGAAGUUGGAAAAAAAAUUCUGGAAGAAAGCUGUAUUUGCCAAGAAAACAACAUGGAUGUCCAUGAAGGCACCAGGAGUCAAGCUCAAAUUGAACACUAUUUUUUCCCUCCUAACUAAGCAGUGAAAAAUGUUCCUGAUACUUUCCUCUGCUUCUUUUCUGUAGUGUAUCUAUUACUUUAUUGCCUGAAGUCUCACCACGAUACUCAGUUCCCCAAAUGUCCUAUUGUUAGAAUCCUAUUGUUAGAAAUGAAGUGGUUCCUUCAGUUUGCAAUCUUAAAAUUAUCCUGUUGGGUUAGGAAGGAUUCCCAUGGCUUUUGCUGUGCCUGGUUGUAUUACUUUAACUUCAUCUUAAAAAUGGCUUUGCUGGAUCCCACCGAAUGUCCCUUAGCCUGGGCAUUUCAUCCCCAGUUGUGCCAGGCAGAGUUCUGGGAAGUUAACCAAGGUUGAAGGUGCCCUCUAUUGUAGAAUUAAUCUAAGAGAUUAGAGGCACACGGUUUGCAAACCUGUGACAGGUGAUGAUAGUGGUUUCCUUGGAGGUUGGGCAAAUUCUGCCAAUUAGAUUAAAAUCUGAAUAUUAACCUUUUUCAGCUCAGAAAUGAAAAUGUCAGAUUACAGUGCAUCAACUGAUUGCAAAAAGAGAGACAGUUUUGAAUAUUUGCAGAGACAAAAAAGCAAAAAGAAAAGAAUAUAUCGAAGUCUUAGGAGCCCAGGAGUUGUACUACACAAUACUGUAGGUCAAGAUGGUGGAGUUCUGGCCUAUUCUGCAUGGAUAGCUUUUAGCCUAGGACUGAUAUAACUUAUAACAGAUUAUAGGCAAAGUGAAAUCACUUUUGCUUUCAAAGGAGAGUUCUCUUGUCACAAUUACAAAAAUAAAUUGGUCGGUCUUCUGAAAAGUUGGCCUGUU
RNAcentral lists this long non-coding RNA (2692 nucleotides) under Notechis scutatus (mainland tiger snake). Its description in RNAcentral is "lncRNA (ENSNSUG00000001926.1)". Lineage: Eukaryota; Metazoa; Chordata; Lepidosauria; Squamata; Elapidae. The record is from RNAcentral.